GAUGAAGAACGCAGCGAAAUGCGAUACUUGGUGUGAAUUGCAGAAUCCCGUGAACCAUCGAGUCUUUGAACGCAAGUUGCGCCCGAAGCCAUUAGGCCGAGGGCACGCCUGCCUGGGCGUCACACGUCGUUGCCCCCCCAUCUACUCCUUCGGGAUUGCGGGGGGCGGAUGGUGGCCUCCCGUGCGCCUCGUCGCGCGGUUGGCAUAAAUGCCAAGUCCUCGGCGACGCACGCCACGACAAUCGGUGGUUGCGAAACCUCGGUUGCCCGUCGUGUGCGGUCGUCGCGCAUCGAGGGCUCGAAAAAAUUGCCGAGCUCUGUUUCGGCUUUCAACGCGACCCCAGGUCAGGCGGGGUUACCCGCUGAAUUUAAGCAUAUCAAUAAGCGGAGGA
RNAcentral lists this unclassified non-coding RNA (391 nucleotides) under soil metagenome. Its description in RNAcentral is "partial contains 5.8S ribosomal RNA, internal transcribed spacer 2, and large subunit ribosomal RNA". The stretch from base 1 to 122 matches the Rfam family "5.8S ribosomal RNA", at positions 35 to 154 of the family's 154-position model. The record is from RNAcentral.